This 274-nucleotide ribosomal RNA is filed under the name uncultured bacterium. RNAcentral describes it as "partial 16S ribosomal RNA". It matches the Rfam family "Bacterial small subunit ribosomal RNA", at positions 523 to 796 of the family's 1533-position model. The record is from RNAcentral.
AUACGGAGGGUGCAAGCGUUAAUCGGAAUUACUGGGCGUAAAGAGUACGUAGGCGGUUUGUUAAGUUAGAUGUGAAAGCCCCGGGCUUAACCUGGGAACUGCAUUUAAAACUGGCGAACUAGAGUUGAGUAGAGGGGAGUGGAAUUUCAGGUGUAGCGGUGAAAUGCGUAGAGAUCUGAAGGAACACCAGUGGCGAAGGCGACUCCCUGGACUCGAACUGACGCUGAGGUACGAAAGCGUGGGUAGCAAACGGGAUUAGAAACCCCAGUAGUCC